Long non-coding RNA from Capsicum annuum, 1752 nucleotides. RefSeq lists it as uncharacterized. The record is from RefSeq and is a predicted model, not a curated record. Lineage: Eukaryota; Viridiplantae; Streptophyta; Magnoliopsida; Solanales; Solanaceae. The transcript has 6 exons.
AACAAACCUAGAGAUUUUUUAAACAUCAUAUUUAUCACUUUUGAUAAAAACCUAUUAUCUUGUCAGCCACUCGAUUAAAUGUUAUCCUUUAAUUCCUAACACUUUCGGCACAAUAGCUUGCAAAGUUCAUUCAUGUCAGAUUGUCCAUAUGAAAACUACAAUUAUAGAGCUUGAUAAAGACCUAUAUAAUAUUGUUCACCUUUUUCCAUCAUAAAUUGUUCCUUAACUUCAACUUAAUUCCAUUGUCAUGUUUUUCCUAUGUUUUUGCGGGGUAUAGAAUUUUUGGUGGUGGUAGAUGAAUGUUCGAUAAAGUUUUGAGAAAUUUUUGUAUAAAGACAUGAGGCAAAGUUCAUUGAGAAUAUUGUUGAAGUGGUUGAAAACAAGCUACACCCCACAGGCUUUUCAUCGCUCAGGGCUAGAAACUUCUUCAUCAAGUUAUUUUAGGUUGGUAAGCAUUUGUCUAAAGAUGUUGAAGCUCAGAUAUUAGCUUCUCAACACUGGAUUGAGGCUAGCCUACAAACUAAUUAUCGAAGAUGACAAGACAGAAGUACUCAAGACUUUACAAACUAGGCUAAAGAUAACACUAUUAUGGGUUUAAUCUAAGUAGUAGAUUAUACUUUAAGAAGGGAUAUAUAAAAUCUAUUGUUUGUUGAUAUCUUCUCAUUUUUUAUUGAUUUGUUUGGAAUUUGAAAUCUGCUACUAUUAGAUUAUUAGGUUUUUCUUCAUUUAAUGUAUUUAAUUAUUAUUUUUAUCUUCAUUUAAAGUAUGUAGGGUAACCAACAAAUCAUCUGGCAAAAAAUCAAGCGGCAUACAAUAAAUAAUAAUAUAUUUGAGAUACAAUUUUUAUUAAUAUCAUUUAAAUAGAUAUAAUGUGGGCUAUCUCAAUGAAAAAAGAUACAUUAUGGAUUAGAUGGGUACACUACUACUAUAUGAAGAACAUCAAACUCGAGAACCUGACAAAUCCUAAGAAUGCAACUUGGGUGAUGCAAAAGAUCAUAGACAGUGGUAAAUAGAUCAUGUUACAGAAAUGCUACCAGGGGAGUGUAACUCAAACCUUGAGAAGCCUGAUUCAAGGUAACAAAUUCAAGAUCAAGAAAGCUUAUCUAGCACUCCAGCCUCAAUUCCCAAGGGUGGUAUGGAAGAACAUCACACUCCAUAAGAGAGUGCAUCCUCGAUACAAAUUCCAUCUGUGGCUUGCAAUACAAGAGAGAUUAUGUACAGUUGAUAGACUUCAAAAGAUGGAGGUGCAAGUUCCUAGGAACUGUGUUUUUUGUGAUCAAGAGGUAGAAACAUUACACCUAUUUUUUAGAUGCCCUUACAGUAAGCAAAUCUAGACCGGAAUACUCAUAUGAAUGAGAGCACACAGAGUAAUAGGUACAUGGCAUCAAGAGGUAAAAUGGAUAUGCAAGAUAGCAAAGAAGAAAGUUGCGAUGCUAUGCAGUGCGUUUGCAAUGGCAAUAUACAACAUUUGGAAAGACAGAAACAAGACGAGGUUCUAGAAUGGCAGAAGUGAUGCAACUAAAACAUGCCAUGAAAUAGCGAUGCACCUGCACAUUCAGGGGAACAAAGCUUCUUGGAAGGAAAAGCUGCAACUGCUGAACUAUUUUCCUUAGGAGAAGUAGAAUUGAUACUUAUUGUAAAAGGAUUAUGGCUCCGUUAGUUGUAUAGAUAACUUGAAUAGGCCCUAGAAAAACAAAUGAGGUGGUCGAUGGUCAGCUUCUACCUGGAUAUGUAACGAUUCACUUUGACUAA